RNAcentral lists this ribosomal RNA (497 nucleotides) under uncultured bacterium. Its description in RNAcentral is "partial 16S ribosomal RNA". It matches the Rfam family "Bacterial small subunit ribosomal RNA", at positions 28 to 507 of the family's 1533-position model. The record is from RNAcentral.
GAUGAACGCUGGCGGCGUGCCUAAUACAUGCAAGUCGAGCGAACGGACGAGAAGCUUGCUUCUCUGAUGUUAGCGGCGGACGGGAGAGUAACACGUGGAUAACCUACCUAUAAGACUGGGAUAAUUUCGGGAAACCGGAGCUAAUACCGGAUGAUAUUUUGAACCGCAUGGUUCAAAAGUGAAAGACGGUCUUGCUGUCACUUAUAGAUGGAUCCGCGCUGCAUUAGCUAGUUGGUAAGGUAACGGCUUACCAAGGCAACGAUGCAUAGCCGACCUGAGAGGGUGAUCGGCCACACUGGAACUGAGACACGGUCCAGACUCCUACGGGAGGCAGCAGUAGGGAAUCUUCCGCAAUGGGCGAAAGCCUGACGGAGCAACGCCGCGUGAGUGAUGAAGGUCUUCGGAUCGUAAAACUCUGUUAUUAGGGAAGAACAUAUGUGUAAGUAACUGUGCACAUCUUGACGGUACCUAAUCAGAAAGCCACGGCUAACUACGUG